Molecule: long non-coding RNA, 229 nt
Organism: Daphnia pulicaria
Lineage: Eukaryota; Metazoa; Arthropoda; Branchiopoda; Diplostraca; Daphniidae
Exons: 3
Source: RefSeq, a predicted model, not a curated record
AAUGUGCCGAGAUAAGGAUCUUUUCUGAAUCUCGCAAUUUUGGUGGCGUGCCCUGCAACAGCAUGUUUUUUGUUAUGGCUGUUUCUAUUUCUGUUUAGAAGGAAACCCAGCUGAAGGAUAGAGUUUCAGAGACAUGAAGAGUGUGAAGUGAGACCUGCCAUGUGUAUGUUCAUGUACCAGAUCUGCUUGAUGAAAGUCAAAUGCCUUACUAAAUUCAUCAUCCAUAUGG